Molecule: small nuclear RNA, 106 nt
Organism: Neomonachus schauinslandi (Hawaiian monk seal)
Lineage: Eukaryota; Metazoa; Chordata; Mammalia; Carnivora; Phocidae
Source: RefSeq, a predicted model, not a curated record
AUGCUCGCUUCGGCAGCACGUAUACUAAAAUUUAAACAUACAGAGAAGAUCAGCAUGGCACCUGAGCAAGGAUGACAUGCAAAUUCAUGGAGCAUUCCAUAUUUUC